CCAGAAAACUAACGGGAUAUUAACGCCGAAAUAAUCAUAUGGACAAUACACUAGUAUAUAUAUAAUUUAUAUACAUAUACUAUUACAUAUGUAUCUAUGUACAAAAUGUACAUGUUUGAAAAGAAUGUGUGUACAAAUAAAUUUGUUUUUUUGUUCGAGUUAUAGCGCUUUUUUAUUGUUCGAGUUACAAAGAAGUCAAUAGGGGAAAAAAUGUGUUCGAGUUAGCACGUCGUUCGACUUAGCGGCUAUUCGAGUUACCGCGAGUGCACUGUACUUUUGGUUGCAAUCUAAAAGCGCGUAUGGUGUUAGUGGUAAUGCUUAAGAACCUUUUUUUUAAUUUUUUUUUUAUUGUAUGUACCAAAUUUUUAUAACAAUUUUUUUAUGCUAAAAUCUCUAAUUAAAAUUUUAUGUGUCAGUUUCAGUGAUAAAUCGCUUUGGCGCUAUUAUUUUAAAUUUUGUACCGAUUAGAAUAAGUUAUUUUAAUUCUUUCUUUCUUUGGACUACUUUCUAUUUUUCAUACACUUGUUACGUAUGCAUAUAUGUAUACCAGAGGCCUUGAAUUCUACCAAAAAUGGCGCAAUUAGAAAAUGCAAGACAAUUCAUGCUUAACAUCUACGAUAUUAAUGGAUUAAAAACAAUUUAUAUGAUGAGAAAAGGAUUCUGAUCUAUGUGUCAUGAUUCACAUAAACCGCAACACAACUAUCUAAAUAGGUCCUACUGACUAUUACGACUAACUACACUAAAAUCUGUGAAGUUUAUUCAAUAAAAUCUAAUGAAAACUUUUCUUUAACAGCGCAAAUAAAGUGCUCAACCCUAUAGUUCACUGCACGUCAUCUUAAAGAACGCUAUGGAUCUUUUGAAAGGAGCAGAGAUAAUUAUGUGUAUACACACCCGAUAUCUGGCCAUACUUAACUCCAAGGAUGAUUGAAAAUAAGGUUUGGCCAUUCGAAGCAAAAUUGUGAGAGUAACUUCGGCUGCCACGUCAUCGGAGAUUCAGCCUGCUCAUUUCACACGUCCGACGACACCGAAAUGACAUGAGCGGAGGGUGCUUCAAUUUUUUGUCGUUACUUAUAUGUUAGUUACGGCAGCCGCCGUAGCCGAAUGGGUUGAUGCGUGACUGAAUCCAGAGAGAACGUAACUUAAAAUCUCGAUGAAAAACCAAAACAAAGAAAAAGUUUUUUCUAGUAGCGGUCGCCCCUCAGCAGGCACUGGCAAACCUUCGAGUGUAUUUCUGCUAUGAAAUACAUAUGUGGCGUUCGGAAUCGGCUUGAAACUGUAGGUUCCUCCAUUUUUUGGAACAACAUCAACACGUACACCACAAAUAGGAGGAGGAGUUCGGUCAAACACCCAAACGAAUGUACGCGCCAAACUUAUAUACAUAUAUACGUUAGCUAAUCAGCUGGCUCCUACAAAACCGCUGAGAGCCGGUUAACGGUCUGAUGGUAACCACGCCUCUGGGGUCUGUACAUCGCGAUGCAAUCCUAUAGCACGACGCCAUUUUAAAAAACGCUAUGGUUGUGUUGAAAGCAACAAAGAUACACACCCGAUAUCUGGCUAUACUUAACUCUAAGGAUGAUCGAAAAUAAGGUUUGGCCAUUCGAAGCAAAAUUGUGAGAGUAACUUCGGCUGCCACGCCAUGACAUGAGUGCGGCCAAACACCCAAACGAAUGUACGCGCCAAACUUAUAUACAUAUACAUAUACGUUAGCUAAUCAGCUUGCUCCUACAAAACCGCUGAGAGCCGGUUAACGGUCUGAUGCUAACCACACCUCUGGGGUCUGUACAUCGCGGUGCAAUCCUAUAGCACGACACCAUUUUAAAAAACGCUAUGAUUGUGUUGAAAGCAACAAAGAUUACCUCUAUAUAUGAUUGUCUGGAUCCGGUACCUGAUAAUACAUUGUGGGCCCGUUCUCCAACAAAUUAAGACUGCGCAUGACGUCACAUCUUUUGAUGAAUAUAAGAUGACCGCUCUGCUGGAUGCGAAAUCCUCAGUUAUGUGAACGUCAAAUAUUAUUAUUUAUUUAUUUGAAUACUAUGUAAUAAAAUAAAAAUUAAAAAAAAAUUGGA
Anastrepha ludens (Mexican fruit fly) is the source of this 2066-nucleotide long non-coding RNA. RefSeq lists it as uncharacterized. The record is from RefSeq and is a predicted model, not a curated record. The transcript is spliced from 4 exons. Lineage: Eukaryota; Metazoa; Arthropoda; Insecta; Diptera; Tephritidae.